GAUGAACGCUAGCGGCAGGCCUAAUACAUGCAAGUCGAACGGUAAGGCCCUUUCGGGGGUACACGAGUGGCGGACGGGUGCGUAACGCGUAUGCAACAUGCCUUCCAGCGGGGGAUAUACCAGGGAAACUUGGCGCAAUACCCCAUAGAAUUACGGGACCGCAUGGUCUUGUGAUUAAAACUCCGGUGCUGGGAGAUUGGCAUGCGUGACAUUAGCUAGUUGGCGGGGUAACGGCCCACCAAGGCGACGAUGUCUAGCUGGUCUGAGAGGAUGAUCAGCCACACUGGGACUGAGACACGGCCCAGACUCCUACGGGAGGCUGCAGUCGAGAAUCUUCCGCAAUGGGCGAAAGCCUGACGGAGCGACGCCGCGUGGAGGACGAAGGCCUUAGGGUUGUAAACUCCUGUCACCGAUUAUGAAUGGCAAUACGUGAAUAUCGUAUUGUUUGACGUAAGUCGGGGAGGAAGCACCGGCUAACUCUGUGCCAGCAGCCGCGGUAA
This 500-nucleotide ribosomal RNA is filed under the name uncultured bacterium. RNAcentral describes it as "bacterial SSU rRNA". It matches the Rfam family "Bacterial small subunit ribosomal RNA", at positions 28 to 523 of the family's 1533-position model. The record is from RNAcentral.